ACGCUCGACACCUACGGGAGGCAGCAGUGAGGAAUAUUGGUCAAUGGACGCAAGUCUGAACCAGCCAUGCCGCGUGCAGGAUGACGGCUCUAUGAGUUGUAAACUGCUUUUGUACGAGGGUAAACGCAGAUACGUGUAUCUGUCUGAAAGUAUCGUACGAAUAAGGAUCGGCUAACUCCGUGUCAGCAGCCGCGGUAAUCUGAGCGGGCUGGCAAGGC
RNAcentral lists this ribosomal RNA (218 nucleotides) under uncultured bacterium. Its description in RNAcentral is "partial 16S ribosomal RNA". It matches the Rfam family "Bacterial small subunit ribosomal RNA", at positions 328 to 539 of the family's 1533-position model. The record is from RNAcentral.